GACAGAGGGGGCAAGCGUUGCUCGGAAUUACUGGGCGUAAAGGGCGCGUAGGCGGGAUGGCAAGUCGGGCGUGAAAUCCCUCGGCUCAACCGAGGAACGUCGAUCGAUACUGCUGUUCUUGAGGAUUGCAGAGGAGACUGGAAUUCCCGGUGUAGCGGUGAAAUGUGUAGAGAUCGGGAGGAACACCGGUGGCGAAGGCGGGUCCCUGGGCAAUUCCUGACGCUGAGGCGCGAAAGCGUGGGGAGCAAACGGG
Molecule: ribosomal RNA, 253 nt
Filed under: uncultured bacterium
Lineage: Bacteria
Description: partial 16S ribosomal RNA
Rfam family: Bacterial small subunit ribosomal RNA
Source: RNAcentral